RNAcentral lists this non-coding RNA (64 nucleotides) under Bacillus sp. (in: firmicutes). RNAcentral's name for it is "Bacillus sp. Fluoride sequence". It matches the Rfam family "Fluoride riboswitch aptamer (crcB RNA motif)". RNAcentral also lists the same sequence under 1 other name. Lineage: Bacteria; Bacillati; Bacillota; Bacilli; Caryophanales; Bacillaceae. The record is from RNAcentral.
GAUGAAUCGGGCGAUGGAGUUCGCCAUUAACCGUCUUUUGCAGACUAAUGACUCCUACCAGUGA